CAUUUAGGCUGUUUCCAAUGAUUGCUAUUAUAACAUCCACACAUAAUUUUUGCAAAUUUAUCUAAUUAUUGCCUAUGAUAACUUCUUAGAAGUAAGAUUUCUGAGAAUGCACUUUUCAAAGAUUUUUCUUGUAUUGUUCAGCUACUCUUCAGGAAGUUUGUGCCAGUUUAUACUCUCAUCAGUUGUUUAAUAUUAUUGUCCCACUUACUAUGAAUGCUCUAGCUCUAUCUCAGCUGUGCCUUGAGGUGUUAAAGAAAGAGCUCCUAGGGCCAGUUUGGUGGCAACAAUAGCCAAUUAGUAUGAGAUUAUCCAAAGGAUGCAGAAUCCCAGGGAGCAAGAAUGGGGGCCGUAAGUUCCAGCUGCUCCACUCUACUUAGGUUCUUUUAUGGCCUCUCGAAGGAUUUGAAAUUGAUUGCUUGAUUGAUUUUAUGAAGGAACACAUUAGUUCCAUCCAAAUGAUGGUGGUGGUGAUGAGUGCAUGGUCAUGAUGAUACCAAUGUGUGGUCGUGACAGUGUGAUAUUGAUGAGGGUAUGGACAAUGGUGGUAACAGGUUAACAGUGGUUCUGAUGGUGAGUGCAGUGCCAAUGAUGGAGAUGGUGGUGGUGCUGGUGUUGACAAUAGGAUGGCAGUUAUGGUGGUGGUAGUGGUGACAAUGUUGGUGGUGAUGACUUAUGAUGAUGGUAAGAAUGGUGAUGGUAACUGUGGUGGUAAUAGUGAGUUUAGCACUGAUGAGGGAGAUGGUGGUGGUGGUACUGACAGUAGGGUGGUAGGAAUGGUGGUUGUGGUCACAGCCACGUUGUGAUGGUGGUUAUGAAGGUGGUGAGAAUGGUGUUGACAGUGUUGGUGAUGGUAGAAACGGUGGUGUGGCAUUGACUGUGGCAUGGUGGUGACAAUGGUGAGAAGAUGUGACAGUGGUGAGGGGCAGCGUGAUAGAAGGGGGAUGGUGGUGGUUCACGAUAGUGGUGAGUGGUGUUGGUGCUGAUGGGAAGCCCGGUGCUGAUGGUAGUGCUGGGGUGUUGUGGAAAUAGAAAGGUGAAAGUGCAUAGAUGAUGGUGAAGGAAUGCAAUACAGGAUUAAAAUAGAUACAAAGGGAGGGAGAGGUUGUCUUAGGAAUGUGAAUAAAGGAAGCAGCAUGUUCUAGACCUAGAACAGCGAGGAGACCCACUGGCCAGAGGGGAUGGUGGGGGAGACGUGCAGUGGGAGUGGGUGCUGGGAAGAGUCCUGGAAGUAGUGAGAAGAAUGUGGACUCCAGGAGGGCAGCACGGGGAGGCAUUCUGCAUCCUGGGAGGGAUAGGUAAGAGCCGAGUGGCCUGCUAGAGAAGAAAAGUGGAUGAGGACCUGGCUGUUGGCCCUCAUGCUGGCCUCAGAUGGAGGCAGAAGGUAGGCUAGGCCCUCUCCAGUGUGGGCAAGUGUCCCAGGCAUGCUGGCAGCAUGGAGGAAAAGGGUGUGAAGGGCCUUCAGUAGCUGAGCCAACCUUAGAAUGCAUGGGCAUGGGGAGAGGCAAAUACCUGGUGCUCUUGUACCAGCUGUACCUGGCAGCUCCUGCUCUCACCUUUGCUUGAGAGGGAGAAGGGUCUGGAGCAGGGACCCAGAGCUCCAGCUCCCUUCUCUCCCCCAGCUCCCUGCCUCUCAACAGCUCCCUGAAUCUCCAGUAGGCAGUUUUUGUUCAGUAGCUUUGCCUGGAUUCAGAGCCCCUUCCCCGACUUUCCAGGUAUAGCAUGAAGCUGUUUGGUGUGUAUACAAAGCUGCAGGAUUCACUCUUCCGGGGCACAGAUGCCUGAGAAACUUCAGGGAGGCAGAAAGCUUGUGUCUGAGCAGCCAUCAUCUGGGCAUCAAGGGGUUAACCCAUCCCUGAGGGCUGGGCCAGGUCUUUUCCUCGGACUGGGCCCCGCCCUCCGGUUCCUCCAUAGAAGUCACUGGAGUCAACUAGGAGCUCACUUUGUGGGAGGGAGAAACGUUUUUUUCUCUUAUUUGAAUGGUGCUCGUGACCUCACAAGGUUUCCAUGGUGACAAGACCAAGGGAGCCAGGGGGACUUGGUGAAUUAGGCCAAACAAACCCACCUCCAAGAGUCUUCUUCCAGACUCCGGGCUUGAGGACGAGGACUCCAGCCACAGCCUCCUCAUGAAGUUUGAAGUCUGCAUUGAACUCAUUAAUUUCCAGCUUUUGGCCGGGCGUGGUGGCUCAUGACUGUAAUUCCAGCACUUUGGGAGGCCAAGGAGGGCGGAUCACCUGAGAUCAGGAGUUUGUGACCAGCCUCACCAACAUGAUGGGGCCCAUGAGUGAGGAGGACAAGAGAGAAAGGAGAAGUUUGGGUGGAAAUCCCAGAGAUUGUUCAUCAUGUGAGAGGAGCCAUGCUGCAUUUCAUGCCAUACUCACACCAUGGAUGGAGAAAAAAAAUCAAGCUUCACUUUCUAAGAAUGGCCCUGGGGCCACUGCAUCUAGUGCCUGUGCAUCUGCAGACCUGCUGGAUGCCUCCAGGGGAAUCAUGCCACCCCAAGCAAGAAAGGGCCCAGUUGCCAGGAGCCUGGAGGCAGAGAGCUGAGGAGCCAGCCCCUGACAUCAGAAUGGAGCUCAAAGGUUGGCUGGGUGUGACUCUGUGGUGGACAGCUUCUCUUGGGAAAUCUACUUUAAUGAAUCCAGAGGAGCAAUUUGUAAUCAGCCCAUCAAAUGUUAAGGGACACUUAGCUGGAAUCUUGUUGCUGGACUCUGUGCCCUGCAGUGGAUGACAGUUCUCCAUCAGGGUCUGUAGUCCUCUACCCUGGAUUUGCUGCAUCUUGGAGCCCCCAAUAGUCAGGUACCGGCUCUCAGAACUGCCUGCAUCCCAUUGCCCUGAGCUGCUGUCUGCCAGGGCUGCUGGUAACCAGGCCCACAGGGCUGGAUAUUCCCCCAACAGGGCAGCUCCCAGUCCAAGCCCAACUGUUACCAGCCCAGAAAGAUGUUUCAGGAUACCCCUUUCCUCCCCACUUCCCUGCCCUCUGCAGCUCCAGCUGGUGCACCCCAUCUUUCUCUCCCCCUCCCUGCUAGGCUGGGCCCUAACAGACCUUUGAGGUGCUUGGGCUUAUUCUGUAACCUUGAGUAACCUUGAGCUACUGCCUCACUCCAUUCCUCACUUUUCUUCUUCUUAAGGUUUCUAACUGGAUUUUGCCAGUGUAUUUAUUUCAAAACUGGUCAUCUUACUGACCUCGCUCAUAGUCUCUUAUUAGUUUUCCAGUUGAUUCUCUUUAGUUUUCUGGAUAAACAAUAUCAUGUACAAAUAA
Molecule: long non-coding RNA, 3259 nt
Organism: Pongo pygmaeus (Bornean orangutan)
Lineage: Eukaryota; Metazoa; Chordata; Mammalia; Primates; Hominidae
Exons: 3
Source: RefSeq, a predicted model, not a curated record